UUUCUUCAUAUUUUCUCAUCCAAAACGCCAUAGAAGGUCUGGAGAAAUCUGGUUUUUCAUAUUUUUACAUCAUGUGAGUUUAAUUCUUACUUUUCUUGAUAAUUUUUAUGUUUUUAUGACUUUUACAAUUAGGUCCACUUGUAGAAUUCAUUAGUUUUUUAUUUUAUGGGUGAAAUUGGAAGUUACCCUGGAUGGAUAAGGGAAUUUUAUGAUGAAUUAUUAUGAAAUUUAAGUUCUAAUUUCAUAUUAAGGUGGUUUUAUUAAGUGAUUUUGAUAGGAAAUGAUAUUUAGGACCUAAUUGUGAAAAAGUUGUGAAUUGAAGGUUUCUGUUGAAAUUAAGAAUAUAAAAGGUUUUGAAAUAGUUUAUAAUGAUAAAAUAAAGUGUUAAUUGAGAAAAAUUAGUUCAAUUGAUGGGUGAAUUGAGCAGGGACUAAAUUGUGAAAACUGUAAAUUUUGGGGUAAAAGUGCAAUUUCGAAAUUUGAACAGCAUAAAUUGUGUGAAGUGAAAUAGAAUUGAAAUGGAUGCUAAUGAAGGAAUGAUUUUAUAAUUAUAGAUCAAGAAAACGAACUGAAUCGUGGAAAGGAGAAAAUUCAAGAAUAGUCCCUGAAUUUCUACGACUUUUGCAAAUUAGUCCAGGUAAGUUCAUAUGGCAAAGUUCAAUGUUUUGAUAUGAAAAUCUUAUGAUUGUUAAAGUAUUUUAUUGUUGAUGAAUACUAUCAAUUUGCACUAACUAAUGAAUAAUGUGUAACUAAAAGUACAAAUUAGUAGGAACAAUGGAUUUCAGUGCUUCUAUUCUGUGACCCUGAUGAAUUGACGAAAUAUAUGUGAUAAGUGUGCCCGUUUAAGACCAUAGCUGGGCUAUGGCAUCGGUGCAAUGUGAUAAUGUGACUCCGUAUAAGACCAUAGCUGGGCUAUGGCAUCGGUAUAAUGUGAUAAUGUGAUUCCGUAUAAGACCAUGUCUGGGAUAUGGCUUCGGUAUGAUAUGUGAACCGUGUAAGACCAUGGCAAGGCUAUGGCUUCAGUGUGUGAUGAGUAACAAUGUGAAAGUCCAUAGUUUACUAUGGCAAUGUGAUAAUGAAGCACUCAAUUCCCUUAUUGUUCCUUAAAUUGACAAUGAAGUAAAUGAGAAAUGGGCCUAAAGGAGUUAAAUUGUGAGUAGCCAUAUGGAAAUUAUUCCAAUGAGUUAUUAAUGAAAUUGUGAUUUGGAGGAUGAAAUAGUUAAACUAAUAGAUAUAAGAUUGUGUACGAUAUUUGAUAUGAUUUGUGUUUAUAUGCCUAUAAGCUUACUAAGCUUCAAUAAGCUUACUUGUGUGUGUUUAAUAUUUUUAUGUAGAUUGACUUGAAGUGAAGUGGGUAGAUCGGAUCAACACAACAGGACACACUAUUCAGAUCAAUUCUGGUAGUUUUUGUUUUAUGUUUAAAGAUUUAUAUGGCAUGUAUAAAGUUUGAAUGAAUUGAAGUAAAGAUGUUAUGAACUAGUUAACAAUAUUUGUACUAAAACAGUUUUUGGUAAGUAGCAGUAGUUUGACUUUGAAAAUUCACCAUAAAUUGUGGAAAUUGAGUUAAGGGCUGGGAAAAAAAUGAGAUUAAAGCCUAAUGAGUCUAGUUUCAUAUAGAGGAAACGGUGCAUGCAAUUGGAUUUUAUGUUAUGAGAUAUUUAAAUUGUGG
RNAcentral lists this long non-coding RNA (1669 nucleotides) under Gossypium barbadense (sea-island cotton). RNAcentral's name for it is "long non-coding RNA (GBAR_LNC004009)". The record is from RNAcentral. Lineage: Eukaryota; Viridiplantae; Streptophyta; Magnoliopsida; Malvales; Malvaceae.